Molecule: long non-coding RNA, 632 nt
Organism: Hibiscus syriacus
Lineage: Eukaryota; Viridiplantae; Streptophyta; Magnoliopsida; Malvales; Malvaceae
Exons: 3
Source: RefSeq, a predicted model, not a curated record
AUCAAGAUCAAAGAAUGAAAUAAAGAGAAAUCGAAACUCCAGAGAAGUCAAACGCAAGGCAAGAUCGAAGCAUGAAAGAAGAUUACGAGACUGAAGAUAAUAAACAAGCUGCUGCCGAUGUACUAUUUCAAUAUUCAAAAUUUGCAAUGGCAUGCAUAGGAAACCAUGUCCGACCUUGUGAUCUGAGGCUGCAUUUAAUGAAGGAAAUAUCAGGGAUGCCAACUUCUCUGAAGAUAGCUUCAUCCUAAGUUGCUGCUUCUCCCGAUUCAAUGGGUGAGUCAUCAAGCUCAGGUACAACAAGACUUGAUAAGAAAGCUGAUAAAUGAGGUGAAUUGAGAGUGUUUCUUAUGUCACUUGAAGCAGCAUUAUGAUUUGUGAAAUUUCAAGUUCUAACAAUGUAAUUCUUAUCGUACUAGAUCCUUACUGCAACUCAGGAUGUUCAUGUAGUACUCGAAUCUACCAGAUUCAUGUGGGUCAGAUUAGGGUGUUACAUAUCCUUUACCUAUCUUUCCUAUAGGUUUUGGGUUUACUUGAAAAUGGUAAGAAAUUCUCAAUACUAAACUUGGAUCACAAACUGUUUUCUCAAUGGAUCUUUGCUGGUCGCCAUCAGAUUGGCUUGAAAUCAGGAUGAC